UACGGAGGGUGCGAGCGUUAUCCGGAAUUACUGGGUUUAAAGGGUGCGUAGGCGGCCAUGUAAGUCAGGAGUGAAAGUUUGCGGCUCAACCGUAAAAUUGCUUUUGAUACUGCAUGGCUGGAAUCAGGAUGAGGUCAGCGGAAUGUGGCAUGUAGCGGUGAAAUGCAUAGAUAUGCCAUAGAACACCAAUUGCGAAGGCAGCUGGCCAGACCUGUAUUGACGCUGAGGCACGAAAGCGUGGGGAGCGAACAGG
Molecule: ribosomal RNA, 253 nt
Filed under: uncultured bacterium
Lineage: Bacteria
Description: partial 16S ribosomal RNA
Rfam family: Bacterial small subunit ribosomal RNA
Source: RNAcentral